RNAcentral lists this ribosomal RNA (241 nucleotides) under uncultured bacterium. Its description in RNAcentral is "partial 16S ribosomal RNA". It matches the Rfam family "Bacterial small subunit ribosomal RNA", at positions 95 to 334 of the family's 1533-position model. The record is from RNAcentral.
CCGGCGCACGGGUGAGUAACACGUAUCCAACCUGCCGUCUACUCUUGGCCAGCCUUCUGAAAGGAAGAUUAAUCCAGGAUAGGAUCAUGAGUUCACAUGUCCGCAUGAUUAAAGGUAUUUUCCGGUAGACGAUGGGGAUGCGUUCCAUUAGAUAGUAGGCGGGGUAACGGCCCACCUAGUCAACGAUGGAUAGGGGUUCUGAGAGGAAGGUCCCCCACAUUGGAACUGAGACACGGUCCAA